UACGAAGGGGGCUAGCGUUGCUCGGAAUCACUGGGCGUAAAGCGCACGUAGGCGGCUUUUUAAGUCAGAGGUGAAAUCCUGGAGCUCAACUCCAGAACUGCCUUUGAUACUGGAGAGCUUGAGUCCGGGAGAGGUGAGUGGAACUGCGAGUGUAGAGGUGAAAUUCGUAGAUAUUCGCAAGAACACCAGUGGCGAAGGCGGCUCACUGGACCACAACUGACGCUGAGGUGCGAAAGCGUGGGGAGCAAACAGG
Molecule: ribosomal RNA, 253 nt
Filed under: uncultured bacterium
Lineage: Bacteria
Description: partial 16S ribosomal RNA
Rfam family: Bacterial small subunit ribosomal RNA
Source: RNAcentral